RNAcentral lists this ribosomal RNA (253 nucleotides) under uncultured bacterium. Its description in RNAcentral is "partial 16S ribosomal RNA". It matches the Rfam family "Bacterial small subunit ribosomal RNA", at positions 524 to 776 of the family's 1533-position model. The record is from RNAcentral.
UACGUAGGGGGCAAGCGUUGUCCGGAAUCAUUGGGCGUAAAGCGCGCGUAGGCGGCCCGGUAAGUCCGUUGUGAAAGUCAAAGGCUCAACCUUUGAAUGCCGAUGGAUACUGCCGGGCUCGAGUCCGGAAGAGGCGAGUGGAAUUCCUGGUGUAGCGGUGGAAUGCGCAGAUAUCAGGAGGAACACCAAUAGCGAAGGCAGCUCGCUGGGACGGUACUGACGCUAAGGCGCGAAAGCCAGGGGAGCAAACGGG